GUGCUCGCUUUGGCAGCACGUAUACUGAAGUUGGAAUGAUAUAGAGACCAUAAGCAUGGUUGCUGUGCAAGGAUGACACAGAAAUUCAUGAAACAUUCCAUAUUUUU
RNAcentral lists this small nuclear RNA (107 nucleotides) under Propithecus coquereli (Coquerel's sifaka). Lineage: Eukaryota; Metazoa; Chordata; Mammalia; Primates; Indriidae. The record is from RNAcentral.